This is a ribosomal RNA of Larimichthys crocea (large yellow croaker), 119 nucleotides long. The record is from Ensembl. NCBI's taxonomy places the organism in Eukaryota, Metazoa, Chordata, Actinopteri, Sciaenidae.
GCUUACGGCCAUACCACCCUGAAUGCUCCCGAUCUCGUCUGAUUUCUGAAGCUAAGCAGGGUCAGGCCUGGUUAGUACUUGGAUGGGAGACCGCCUAGGAAUACCAGGUGCUGUAAGCU